AAUGAACGCUGGCGGCGUGCCUAACACAUGCAAGUCGUACGAGAAAGGGGCUUCGGCCCUGAGUAGAGUGGCGCACGGGUGAGUAACGCGUGGGUAAUCUACCCUUGGAUUUGGGAUAACUCUGCGAAAGUGGAGCUAAUACCGGAUAGUCUGGCUUUUAAUAGAAGUCGGUAAAGGAUGCCUCUGCAUAUGCAUUCGUCCGAGGAUGAGCCCGCGUCUCAUUAGCUAGUUGGUAGGGUAAUGGCCUACCAAGGCAACGAUGAGUAGCUGGUCUGAGAGGAUGAUCAGCCACACUGGAACUGAAACACGGUCCAGACACCUACGGGUGGCAG
RNAcentral lists this ribosomal RNA (332 nucleotides) under uncultured Pseudomonadota bacterium. RNAcentral describes it as "bacterial SSU rRNA". It matches the Rfam family "Bacterial small subunit ribosomal RNA", at positions 29 to 351 of the family's 1533-position model. The record is from RNAcentral. Lineage: Bacteria; Pseudomonadati; Pseudomonadota.